GAUGAACGCUGGCGGCGUGCCUAACACAUGCAAGUCGAGCGAUUCUCUUCGGGGAAGAGCGGCGGACGGGUGAGUAACGCGUGGGUAACCUGCCCUGUACACACGGAUAACAUACCGAAAGGUAUGCUAAUACGGGAUAAUAUGCUUUAGUCGCAUGGCUGAAGUAUCAAAGCUCCGGCGGUAUAGGAUGGACCCGCGUCUGAUUAGCUAGUUGGUAAGGUAAUGGCUUACCAAGGCGACGAUCAGUAGCCGACCUGAGAGGGUGAUCGGCCACAUUGGAACUGAGACACGGUCCAAACUCCUACGGGAGGCAGCAGUGGGGAAUAUUGCACAAUGGGCGAAAGCCUGAUGCAGCAACGCCGCGUGAGCGAUGAAGGCCUUCGGGUCGUAAAGCUCUGUCCUCAAGGAAGAUAAUGACGGUACUUGAGGAGGAAGCCCCGGCUAACUACGUGCCAGCCGCCGCGGUAA
This 468-nucleotide ribosomal RNA is filed under the name uncultured bacterium. Its description in RNAcentral is "partial 16S ribosomal RNA". It matches the Rfam family "Bacterial small subunit ribosomal RNA", at positions 28 to 523 of the family's 1533-position model. The record is from RNAcentral.